GCGGGAGCGGGCGGAGGAAGUGACACCUGACUCUACCUCCUCUCCCUCCCAUCCCCGUCCCUGGUCUCUCCCAAAGAAGUAGGUUCUUAGCCUGUGAUACAAAGGACCCCUUUGGCGGCCAGCUGGAGCCUGUGCGCUUUUCUUCAAAUAAUGGCUUUUAAAGCUCAAGACUAGAAAGUUUAGGAUUACAAAGAAAAACGGUUCUUUUCACAUACGGUUAUCCUUGUGAUGUAGCAUUUCGCUUGACAUUUGGAAGUCGUUCAAUAUCAGAGAGAAACCGUAUCUAUGAAACUAGAGAGGCUGCUCAGAUGACUGCAAACCAGCCAUCCUUACUUGUUUUAUCACUAGGAGUAUUAUAAAGACGGUCGUCCAGUUUCUUGAAUCUUGUAGGGUUUUUUUCAGAUACAGCAAUGUACAAAAAUGUGCUGCCCCAGCAGAGCACACUGGACAUUCAGGCAUGGUGCUGGAGUUUGUCGUCUCUUCACUGCCUUCUCUAGACCUUAGCGCUUACCUCAUGUUAACACUUUAUAUGCUGCGAAGACAGAAACACAGUCAUCCAAAUUUGGCAAAAAUAUUUGGGAGAAAUUUUAUUUCAGGUGUUUAACUGAUUACUUUUAAUAUGUAGACUACAACACCAAACUCUGAGAAUACUCCACAGACUUAUUAAUGGUUUCCACCCCCGUCUCUGCAAAUCUAUCAGGUGGCCACAGAGUGCAUGUGCUAUGAGGGACCCGUCCGACAUAUACCCUCCCAGAAGAGCAGGAAAGGGGGUUCAUAAAGAUGUUCUUCUGAUGGGGAGUGUCCUAUAAGGCCACCUUCACAUGGACAAACUGGAAACACAGGUUAUAUCACCAAGGCUUUGACUGAAACAUCAUGUUUUCAGAUAUGACCAGAAGGCUUUAGGGGACUAAGGUUGGCUUUAUGGAACCAAUAAAGUACCAUCUUGGAAAAACUGGCUCUAGGGUUCCCAGACUUACAGGCACUGUACGUGGCACUGAGAAUGCAAAGCAAAACGAUUCAUGGUCUACUGGCGGGAGCCUUCUCAGCGGAGAAAAGAUCAACAAGAAAAGUGCCUGCUGGAGACCUCUCCUAGGGCAUAAACCAAUAUAGAGGUGGGGCAGCUACGUCAGCCUGAGGUGUCCUUAGGCAGAACAGAAAGUGAGAAUCAGAGCAGUAUCUCAUUUCUGAACACCUGGAUUGUAGCUUUCCCUGGACUGACUGUCAAAGGAGGUGGUUUUAAAAAGCAAGCCAAACAGGUUUCCAUCCUUUAGGAAGACCCUGGAACGUGCCAGUUGAUUCUGACAAUUUCUCAUGGACAGAAAUACCUAGGAAGGGAGAACUGGGAUUUAUUUAAUGGGGAUGUGUUCAAGGCAAGACCGAAUUCAGAAGGAUAUCGACGUCGUGAUCCAGAAGUCCAGAGCUGAGGACUGCCUGUUUGCAGAUUAGCAAUAAACUCCUUAAAACCCAAAGGUUUGGGCUUCUGUUCCUUUCACUUGCAGUCAGACAUGGAGUUAGUGGUAGAAGAAACAGAAGGGGUAACCUGCAUGGUGACAGCUACUGAGGGGAUGGAUAGGAAAGCAGGCUGAGUCCCUGGGGCCAGUGGUUACCAAAGCCAAGGAGAGAGCAAGGGGAGCCCAGUGGGCCUGGCCAUGGACUGCUCUGGAAUUCCGAGUGUGAACUUUCAGCCAAGAAGCUUUAAAUCAUCUAGGAACUUCAUAUAAAAUUUAAUUCCAGUUUCAACUAGUUGUGGAGCAUUUGAUCCAAAAUAAAAUGAAAGUCCUCUCUGAAGCUGUAGAGGAGACUCAAGAAUCAGAACAACCUGAAGUUCUUUAAGCUGUCAGUUGAAGGACUAGGUAAAAAACAAAUAUCAUUUAGUGUGAUCAUUAAUGCACAUGAGUCAUUAUUCCAUGUGGUUGCUGUCGACUGGUCAGGGGCACUUCAAGCAGGUCUCAGCUGAGACCUGUCCAAAUUACUGACCCACAAAAUCAUAAGAUACAAUAAAAUGGUUGUUUUGAG
Molecule: long non-coding RNA, 2016 nt
Filed under: Pan troglodytes (chimpanzee)
Lineage: Eukaryota; Metazoa; Chordata; Mammalia; Primates; Hominidae
Description: long non-coding RNA NONPTRT000425
Source: RNAcentral